GACGAACGCUGGCGGCGUGCCUAAUACAUGCAAGUCGAACGAGAGCGCCCGGUGCUUGCACUGGGCAAUCUAGUGGCGCACGGGUGAGUAACGCGUGGAUAACCUGCCCAUCAGAGGGGGAUAACAACGGAAAACGGGUGAUAAAACGGCAUAGGCCUUCGAUCCGCGGGGCGGGUAGGGGAAAAGCGGCGGAAGGGUAUGCAGAUGCGGGGAACCGGGGUGCAGUAGCUGGUGGGUGGGGUAACGGCUCACCAGGGCCGUGAUGCAUAGCCGACCGGAGGGGGUGAUCGGCGACAUUGGGAGUGAGACAGGGACAUAACGACUACGGGAGGCAGCAGUAGGGAAUCGUCGGCAAUGGAGGGAAGUCUGACGGAGCGACGGCGCGUGAGUGAAGAAGGUGUUCGGAGCGUAAAACUCUGUUGUGAGAGAAGAACAAGUGCUAGAGUAAAUGUUAGCGCCGUGACGGUAUCUAAUAAGAAAGCCACGGCUAACUACGUG
This 498-nucleotide ribosomal RNA is filed under the name uncultured bacterium. Its description in RNAcentral is "partial 16S ribosomal RNA". It matches the Rfam family "Bacterial small subunit ribosomal RNA", at positions 28 to 507 of the family's 1533-position model. The record is from RNAcentral.